RNAcentral lists this small RNA (237 nucleotides) under Arabidopsis thaliana (thale cress). Its description in RNAcentral is "ATSL161170". Lineage: Eukaryota; Viridiplantae; Streptophyta; Magnoliopsida; Brassicales; Brassicaceae. The record is from RNAcentral.
AAUUAUUUUACAUGUUAAUAAAAUACACGAAACUGUACAAAUACUAUGUGUACACCUACAUAUACUAAAUAUACAAUUACGUACAUAAAAGUACAUACCAAUACUAUAAUAAAUUUUCAAUUCUACAAACUGAGGAGACUACAUAUACUAAACAAAAUACAAGCUGAGGAGACUAAAUAUAUUUAGUAAUACCAAUAAUAUAUGAUAUACAACUACAUAUUUACAAACAAAGAAAAU